UUUCCGUAGGUGAACCUGCGGAAGGAUCAUUAACACGUUUCCAACGUUAAACAAACCCCAUCUGUUUUCGGAUAGAUGGGCACCAAACAACCAUAGCCCCUUUACGGGGGCCUGCGUAGUUAUGUGGUUUUGUCAAAAGACCAACACCGUUUCCAACCUCUCUUUCGGGAGAGGGAGGGCACCACGUUGAGGAGUACUUUCAUUGGGAGAUGUACCUUUGAGAGGAAACCACAUGUUGGCGAAGGUUGCGGACUUGAGACAUCCACAUUUUGUUAACCUUUCUUUCUUAAUUAUUUUUAUUGUUUUGAAAGAUGUCAUCUUGUAUGAUGUCUUUUAAUACAAACUCUGUACAACUCUUAGCAACGGAUGUCUUGGUUUCC
RNAcentral lists this unclassified non-coding RNA (380 nucleotides) under soil metagenome. RNAcentral's name for it is "partial contains small subunit ribosomal RNA and internal transcribed spacer 1". The record is from RNAcentral.